UACAGAGGUCCCAAGCGUUGUUCGGAUUCACUGGGCGUAAAGGGCGCGUAGGCGGCCUGAUAAGUCGGGGGUGAAAUCCUGUGGCUUAACCACAGGGCUGCCUCCGAGACUGUCGGGCUCGAGCACAGUAGAGGCAGGUGGAAUUCCCGGUGUAGCGGUGGAAUGCGUAGAGAUCGGGAAGAACAUCGGUGGCGAAGGCGGCCUGCUGGGCUGUUGCUGACGCUGAGGCGCGACAGCGUGGGGAGCAAACAGG
RNAcentral lists this ribosomal RNA (253 nucleotides) under uncultured bacterium. Its description in RNAcentral is "partial 16S ribosomal RNA". It matches the Rfam family "Bacterial small subunit ribosomal RNA", at positions 524 to 776 of the family's 1533-position model. The record is from RNAcentral.